ACGUAGGGUGCAAGCGUUAUCCGGAAUUAUUGGGCGUAAAGGGCUCGUAGGCGGUUCGUCGCGUCCGGUGUGAAAGUCCAUCGCUUAACGGUGGAUCUGCGCCGGGAACGGGCGGGCUGGAGUGCGGUAGGGGAGACUGGAAUUCCCGGUGUAACGGUGGAAUGUGUAGAUAUCGGGAGGAACACCAAUGGCGAAGGCAGCUUUCUGGGCCGUAACUGACGCUGAGGAGCGAAAGCGAGGGGAGCAAACAG
RNAcentral lists this ribosomal RNA (251 nucleotides) under uncultured prokaryote. RNAcentral's name for it is "partial 16S rRNA". It matches the Rfam family "Bacterial small subunit ribosomal RNA", at positions 525 to 775 of the family's 1533-position model. The record is from RNAcentral.